AUGCCCGACACUAUCACUUGGAAGUUCACUACUAACGGCCACUACUCGGCGGCGGCGGCCUACAAAGCGCAGCUUUAUGGCCAUACUGACACGACCAUGAUUCCGACCGUUUGGAAGAUUUGGGCAUCUCCUAAAUGCAAGUUCUUCGCAUGGCUGGCAAUCAACAAUAGGAUUUGGACGGCAGACAGGCUUCAGCGUCGUGGGUGGCAAAACUGUAAUCUUUGUCCACUAUGCAAGCAAGUUCAGGAGUCAACAACCUACCUUCUAUUCCAAUGCCGAUACACUAUCAGAGUUUGGCGUAUGAUCAAAGAUUGGCUUGGUCUCCAUGAUGUGCAUCCUUCCAAUUGGAGUGAUGCGACUUCCAUAAAAGAGUGGUGGAGCCACAAUGCUAACAAGAAGACCCAAUCGCGAAGGCCGCUUGCUUUCUUGAUGCUGCUCAUCUCUUGGGAGUUAUGAAAAGAGAGGAAUGCACGAAUCUUUCGUAACAAUCCGGUGGGAGUCGCCGUUGCUAGGAUUAAAGGAGCGAGGCAUUUGAAUAACAUAAUGCCGCGAGAGUGA
RNAcentral lists this ribosomal RNA (558 nucleotides) under Triticum aestivum (bread wheat). RNAcentral describes it as "partial small subunit ribosomal RNA". Lineage: Eukaryota; Viridiplantae; Streptophyta; Magnoliopsida; Poales; Poaceae. The record is from RNAcentral.